RNAcentral lists this ribosomal RNA (423 nucleotides) under Cryptosporidium meleagridis. RNAcentral describes it as "SSU rRNA". It matches the Rfam family "Eukaryotic small subunit ribosomal RNA", at positions 421 to 873 of the family's 1831-position model. Lineage: Eukaryota; Apicomplexa; Conoidasida; Eucoccidiorida; Cryptosporidiidae. The record is from RNAcentral.
GAAGGCAGCAGGCGCGCAAAUUACCCAAUCCUAAUACAGGGAGGUAGUGACAAGAAAUAACAAUACAGGACUUUUUGGUUUUGUAAUUGGAAUGAGUUAAGUAUAAACCCCUUUACAAGUAUCAAUUGGAGGGCAAGUCUGGUGCCAGCAGCCGCGGUAAUUCCAGCUCCAAUAGCGUAUAUUAAAGUUGUUGCAGUUAAAAAGCUCGUAGUUGGAUUUCUGUUAAUAAUUUAUAUAUAAUAUUUGAUUAAUAUUUAUAUAAUAUUAACAUAAUUCAUAUUACUAAAUUUAUUAGUAUAUGAAAUUUUACUUUGAGAAAAUUAGAGUGCUUAAAGAAGGCAUAUGCCUUGAAUACUCCAGCAUGGAAUAAUAUUAAAGAUUUUUAUCUUUUUUAUUGGUUCAUAGAUAAAAAUAUUGAUUAAU